RNAcentral lists this ribosomal RNA (292 nucleotides) under uncultured prokaryote. RNAcentral's name for it is "partial 16S ribosomal RNA". It matches the Rfam family "Bacterial small subunit ribosomal RNA", at positions 505 to 796 of the family's 1533-position model. The record is from RNAcentral.
GUGUCAGCAGCCGCGGUAAUACAGAGGGUGCAAGCGUUAAUCGGAUUUACUGGGCGUAAAGCGCGCGUAGGCGGCCAAUUAAGUCAAAUGUGAAAUCCCCGAGCUUAACUUGGGAAUUGCAUUCGAUACUGGUUGGCUAGAGUGUGGGAGAGGAUGGUAGAAUUCCAGGUGUAGCGGUGAAAUGCGUAGAGAUCUGGAGGAAUACCGAUGGCGAAGGCAGCCAUCUGGCCUAACACUGACGCUGAGGUGCGAAAGCAUGGGGAGCAAACAGGAUUAGAAACCCGGGUAGUCC